UACAGAGGUGGCAAGCGUUGUUCGGAAUUACUGGGCGUAAAGGGCGCGUAGGCGGCCAUCUAAGUCAGACGUGAAAUCCCCCGGCUUAACCUGGGAACUGCGUCUGAUACUGGAAGGCUUGAGUAUGGGAGAGGGAUGUAGAAUUCCAGGUGUAGCGGUGAAAUGCGUAGAUAUCUGGAGGAAUACCGGUGGCGAAGGCGGCAUCCCGGACCAUUACUGACGCUGAGGCGCGAAAGCUAGGGGAGCAAACGGG
This 253-nucleotide ribosomal RNA is filed under the name uncultured bacterium. Its description in RNAcentral is "partial 16S ribosomal RNA". It matches the Rfam family "Bacterial small subunit ribosomal RNA", at positions 524 to 776 of the family's 1533-position model. The record is from RNAcentral.